Molecule: ribosomal RNA, 1038 nt
Filed under: Salmonella enterica subsp. enterica serovar Cerro
Lineage: Bacteria; Pseudomonadati; Pseudomonadota; Gammaproteobacteria; Enterobacterales; Enterobacteriaceae
Description: bacterial SSU rRNA
Rfam family: Bacterial small subunit ribosomal RNA
Source: RNAcentral
AAGCAGCUUGCUGCUUUGCUGACGAGUGGCGGACGGGUGAGUAAUGUCUGGGAAACUGCCUGAUGGAGGGGGAUAACUACUGGAAACGGUGGCUAAUACCGCAUAACGUCGCAAGACCAAAGAGGGGGACCUUCGGGCCUCUUGCCAUCAGAUGUGCCCAGAUGGGAUUAGCUAGUUGGUGAGGUAACGGCUCACCAAGGCGACGAUCCCUAGCUGGUCUGAGAGGAUGACCAGCCACACUGGAACUGAGACACGGUCCAGACUCCUACGGGAGGCAGCAGUGGGGAAUAUUGCACAAUGGGCGCAAGCCUGAUGCAGCCAUGCCGCGUGUAUGAAGAAGGCCUUCGGGUUGUAAAGUACUUUCAGCGGGGAGGAAGGUGUUGUGGUUAAUAACCGCAGCAAUUGACGUUACCCGCAGAAGAAGCACCGGCUAACUCCGUGCCAGCAGCCGCGGUAAUACGGAGGGUGCAAGCGUUAAUCGGAAUUACUGGGCGUAAAGCGCACGCAGGCGGUCUGUCAAGUCGGAUGUGAAAUCCCCGGGCUCAACCUGGGAACUGCAUUCGAAACUGGCAGGCUUGAGUCUUGUAGAGGGGGGUAGAAUUCCAGGUGUAGCGGUGAAAUGCGUAGAGAUCUGGAGGAAUACCGGUGGCGAAGGCGGCCCCCUGGACAAAGACUGACGCUCAGGUGCGAAAGCGUGGGGAGCAAACAGGAUUAGAUACCCUGGUAGUCCACGCCGUAAACGAUGUCUACUUGGAGGUUGUGCCCUUGAGGCGUGGCUUCCGGAGCUAACGCGUUAAGUAGACCGCCUGGGGAGUACGGCCGCAAGGUUAAAACUCAAAUGAAUUGACGGGGGCCCGCACAAGCGGUGGAGCAUGUGGUUUAAUUCGAUGCAACGCGAAGAACCUUACCUGGUCUUGACAUCCACGGAAGUUUUCAGAGAUGAGAAUGUGCCUUCGGGAACCGUGAGACAGGUGCUGCAUGGCUGUCGUCAGCUCGUGUUGUGAAAUGUUGGGUUAAGUCCCGCAACGAGCGCAACCC